GGAUUUUUUUCUAAACGGCCGCAGAAUUUUAACUGUGCUAAGGUAGCAUAAUCAUUUGUCUUUUAAUUGAAGACUGGUAUGAAUGGUUUCACGAAAUUAAGCUGUCUCUUCUAUAUUUAAUAUAAUUUAAUCUUAAAGUUAAAAAGCUUUAAUUAAAUAAAAAGACAAAAAGACCCCGUAGAGUUUUAUUUUCAUCAUUUAAAAAAAUUUAAUGAAAAUUUUGUUGGGGCAACUAAGAAAAAAUAAAUUUUUCUAAACAAACAAUAACUAUACACUAUCAUUUACUUAAUAAAACAAAAUAAAUUACCUCGGGGAUAACAGCGUAAUUUUCUUUGAGAGUCCAAAUCGAAAAGAAAAAUUAC
RNAcentral lists this ribosomal RNA (362 nucleotides) under Kruppomenia genslerae. RNAcentral describes it as "partial 16S ribosomal RNA". It matches the Rfam family "Bacterial large subunit ribosomal RNA", at positions 1913 to 2521 of the family's 2925-position model. Lineage: Eukaryota; Metazoa; Mollusca; Solenogastres; Cavibelonia; Simrothiellidae. The record is from RNAcentral.